GUGGGGAAUAUUGGACAAUGGGCGAAAGCCUGAUCCAGCCAUGCCGCGUGUGUGAAGAAGGUCUUCGGAUUGUAAAGCACUUUAAGUUGGGAGGAAGGGCAGUAAGUUAAUACCUUGCUGUUUUGACGUUACCGACAGAAUAAGCACCGGCUAACUUCGUGCCAGCAGCCGCGGUAAUACGAAGGGUGCAAGCGUUAAUCGGAAUUACUGGGCGUAAAGCGCGCGCAAGUGGUUUUGUAAGUUGGAGGUGAAAUCCCCGGGCUCAACCUGGGAACUGCCUCCAAAACUGCAUGACUAGAGUACGGUGGAGGGUAGUGGAAUUUCCUGUGUAGCGGUGAAAUGCGUAGAUAUAGGAAGGAACACCAGUGGCGAAGGCGACUACCUGGACUGAUACUGACACUGAGGUGCGAAAGCGUGGGGAGCAAACAGGAUUAGAUACCCGUGUAGUCC
This 450-nucleotide ribosomal RNA is filed under the name uncultured bacterium. RNAcentral's name for it is "partial 16S ribosomal RNA". It matches the Rfam family "Bacterial small subunit ribosomal RNA", at positions 354 to 796 of the family's 1533-position model. The record is from RNAcentral.